This 531-nucleotide long non-coding RNA is filed under the name Hordeum vulgare. RNAcentral's name for it is "long non-coding RNA (HVUL_LNC016501)". Lineage: Eukaryota; Viridiplantae; Streptophyta; Magnoliopsida; Poales; Poaceae. The record is from RNAcentral.
UGGUAGACAGUUGACCCACACAAACUAUUUGUGAUGGACUAAAAUAAUACAAACGGUUAACUGAAUACAAGUGUGUGUGAUGUACGACAUAUGGUUCAUCCAGAUGAACUGUUUGCGAUGAGGCAAAUAACACAACCUAUUCGGCGUCUGAAGUUGUGUGUGAUAUCAGGCAAAUAGGUCGCUCAGACGAACUAUUUGCGAUGACAAAAGUAACACAAGUAUUUAGCGCAACAAGAUGUGUGUGAUACCCGACAAAUAGGUAAGUAAUCGGGAUUGUGUGGGAAGACUGAUAAAAAGAUAGACGAUUCUUGAUAAUAAGUUGUGUGUGCUGUGGGCAAACACCUGGUAGCACCCAAUUGUGUGUGAUUGUUGAAAUCAUCACCGACGUGUUCCUUUCUUUAAUCGUAAGUGAUGCGAUUCUCUCGGUUUGUAUACCAUAUAUGCUCUGUCUACAGAACAACAACAUGAUAGCAUAACCUAAAUAAACAUCCAAUUACAUUACUGACUACAGAUAACAUUUGCACACCUCAA